This 253-nucleotide ribosomal RNA is filed under the name uncultured bacterium. RNAcentral describes it as "partial 16S ribosomal RNA". It matches the Rfam family "Bacterial small subunit ribosomal RNA", at positions 524 to 776 of the family's 1533-position model. The record is from RNAcentral.
UACGUAGGGGGCAAGCGUUGUCCGGAAUCAUUGGGCGUAAAGCGCGUGUAGGCGGUUUGUUGCGUCGGCUGUGAAAUCCCGAGGCUCAACCUCGGGUCUGCAGUCGAUACGAGCAAACUAGAGUGUUGCAGGGGAGACUGGAAUUCCUGGUGUAGCGGUGAAAUGCGCAGAUAUCAGGAGGAACACCGGUGGCGAAGGCGGGUCUCUGGGCAACAACUGACGCUGAGGAGCGAAAGCGUGGGGAGCGAACAGG